RNAcentral lists this ribosomal RNA (253 nucleotides) under uncultured bacterium. Its description in RNAcentral is "partial 16S ribosomal RNA". It matches the Rfam family "Bacterial small subunit ribosomal RNA", at positions 524 to 776 of the family's 1533-position model. The record is from RNAcentral.
UACGGAGGGGGCUAGCGUUAUUCGGAAUUAUUGGGCGUAAAGAGCGUGUAGGCGGCUAUACAGGUCCGUUGUGAAAACUCGAGGCUCAACCUCGAGACGCCGAUGGAAACCGUAUGGCUAGAGUCCGGAAGAGGAGAGCGGAAUUCCUGGUGUAGCGGUGAAAUGCGCAGAUAUCAGGAAGAACACCCGUGGCGAAGGCGGCUCUCUGGGACGGUACUGACGCUGAGACGCGAAAGCGUGGGGAGCGAACAGG